Molecule: RNA transcript, 1542 nt
Organism: Patiria miniata (bat star)
Lineage: Eukaryota; Metazoa; Echinodermata; Asteroidea; Valvatida; Asterinidae
Exons: 6
Source: RefSeq, a predicted model, not a curated record
UCAUCCAUGCUCAUCGAAGAGUAGCUUCUUUCAACCUCUCUGCCAUCUGCCUGGCAUGCCUGGGAGGGACGCCAAAGCACAUGGCUACCGAGGAGGGCAAAGCACAUGGCAACUGAGAAGGGCAAAGCACAUGGCAACUGAGGAGGUCGGUAGCCAGAGGGUGGAGGUGAUGUCCAAGCCAACGAAGCUGAUGUCUGAUGGGAGAGGUCCUGGAUGCUGACUAUGCCUAGCUAUAUAGGUUUUCAUCAGUAACCCAGAUGCUGCUUUUGAUGCCGAAAUGCCGUGAAUCUGCACCACUUUAUCAGACAGGACCGGAUGAGUAAGUUUUCCUCUCUCAAAAUUCAUCAAAAGCCUGUCACACUAGCACAAGAAGAGGAACACAUGUUUCAGUUGUCACAACUUUUCCUCUAUCGACAUACGUUGAAAGGCUGUUACCAGUACCACAAAAAGAAGAGCACAUGUCUUUCAGUGGUUGUCCCAACUUGUCCUCUAUCAAAAUUCGUUGAAAGCCUGUCAUCAUGUAGGAAGAGGAACACAUGUGUUUCAGGUUUUCCUGCUCUUACCAAGAAGACGUUGCUCUUGAUCCUGGAAUGCCCUGAAACUGCACCACUUUGUGAUGACAUCAAACAUCAGAGAAACUACAUCCAAGGUGCCUUGGGCCUAUUUAGAAUGUACUAGGCUGUUAAAUGAGAAAAAAAGGUUAAAUGGGCAAUUCCAUGCUGGUUGACACACAAGACCAAAAAAUAAACAAAUUUAUCGUUUGUUCAAGUUUGAUUCGCUGAAGAGACACAAUAUAACGUGGCAUUUUUAAAACUGAAAUAUAGUCUAGUCCUAUGUGCGCACUGUUUUGUGAGUUACGUACGGUACACCAUCACAUCAAAGUCUGCAAUGACGUCAUGAUGACUUAUGGAUGCACUGGUGAGGAAUUUUUAAUUAGUCUUUUGCUAUCUAUACAGUUAUAUUUCAAUUUGCUAUGUUACCGUUUUGAAGGCGUCUUUGUGAAAAUGGAUGUUAUUUUUCAGUUUUCAAUUUUAGUCAGAUUUUGCUUGUAAUAUGAGAUAUAUAUUGAAUGAUUUGAAAGCCAUCAAAAGUGAUUUUAUGUAAAUGGCUACAUUUCCUAACCAAUGAAAUAUUCAGUUAACUUUCCUUAGCUUGAGUUCUCAGAAGUGUUAAAAAACGAUUUGUCAGAAGUUUUUGUUUUUAUACUUAGGCCAGCCAUGAAAUAUUGUAAUAGUAUUGGGCAUGUGUAAUGUCAUGCAGUCACAUUAUUGCACAGUCUGUACUCCAUAAUUGAGGAAUGAAAUAAAAAAUAUAUUUGUUUUGCUUUUGGGCACAAGUAGUCUAUCAUUGUCCAUUCUGAUGGGGUGGGGUGGGGUGGGGGAAGUCUUCCCUGUGAGAACUGAAUUAUUGUUUGGCACCAAAUAGUUUAAUAUUCAUAAUUCCUUAUUACUAACGUUGGCUGAUUUUAUAUUUGUUGAUUUUAUAUUUGUUGUUGGUUCAUUGGAUAUCUUAGGAAGUGCUACAGAAACAGGAAUUAAAAUU